UCUCCGUUGGUGAACCAGCGGAUGGAUCAUUACAGAGUUAUCUAACUCCCCAACCCAUGUGAACUUUCCAUUUGUUGCCUCGGCAGAGCCUACCCGGUAACUGUUCGGAGAAGCUACCCUGUAGCUACCCUGUAACGGCCUACCCUGUAACGCACUGCCGGUGGACUUUUAAACUCUUGUUAUUUUAUAGUAAUCUGAGCGUCUUAUGUUAAUAAGUCAAAACUUUCAACAACGGAUCUCUUGGUUCUGGCAUCGAUGAAGAAAGCAGC
Molecule: unclassified non-coding RNA, 269 nt
Filed under: uncultured fungus
Lineage: Eukaryota; Fungi
Description: sequence contains ITS1, 5.8S rRNA gene
Rfam family: 5.8S ribosomal RNA (bases 221-269)
Source: RNAcentral